This 223-nucleotide ribosomal RNA is filed under the name Salmonella enterica. Its description in RNAcentral is "partial 23S ribosomal RNA". It matches the Rfam family "Bacterial large subunit ribosomal RNA", at positions 1646 to 1851 of the family's 2925-position model. RNAcentral also lists the same sequence under 1 other name. Lineage: Bacteria; Pseudomonadati; Pseudomonadota; Gammaproteobacteria; Enterobacterales; Enterobacteriaceae. The record is from RNAcentral.
ACCCCAAACCGACACAGGUGGUCAGGUAGAGAAUACCAAGGCGCUUGAGAGAACUCGGGUGAAGGAACUAGGCAAAAUGGUGCCGUAACUUCGGGAGAAGGCACGCUGACACGUAGGUGAAGUGAUUUACUCACGGAGCUGAAGUCAGUCGAAGAUACCAGCUGGCUGCAACUGUUUAUUAAAAACACAGCACUGUGCAAACACGAAAGUGGACGUAUACGGU